UAAUCUUAAAAAUGCAAAGGCAAAACUUAGUCAUCAAACAAGGAGAAGAGUACAACAACAUAUCCAGUGUGAUUCCACAAGUAAGGUAUAGAGCUUGUAUUCGAUGACCCUCGGCUCAACAAAUAAGGAGGGGAGUGGUGUGAGGAAUUUAGUAGUACCAUGGAACAGCUUGAACUAAGAUGGUAUUGAACUAUUAAUCAUGGUUGAUUGUGUAGAUGCAAAAAGAGGACCUCCUUGUAUUUGAUGAAUCCAACCAAUUACCCCUUUGAUGAAAUCUCCUCCUUCUAUCAUGCUCAAUACCACGAAGCAUACCAGCCAUUUUUACACAAACUCAAGAACAGAAAAAAAAAACCACAAAGGAAAUCAGAAAGUCUUUGUAGCUACUGUUACAAAACAUCAGAAAGUUC
This 407-nucleotide long non-coding RNA is filed under the name Nicotiana benthamiana. Its description in RNAcentral is "long non-coding RNA (NBEN_LNC015281)". Lineage: Eukaryota; Viridiplantae; Streptophyta; Magnoliopsida; Solanales; Solanaceae. The record is from RNAcentral.